CUUCCUAAGCUAGGGUCCCCAGGAAUGGAUUCUGACUCACGGACUCUCCAGAGAGAGGGAGACGCUAAGCUGCAGAGCCAAGGGAGGUGGGGAGGACAGCAGCUGCUAUUGUUGUUUCUCUCUCGACCUUAUUAAGGCAAGAGGAGGACCCAUUGUGCUCCUAAUGAUUGCUGAGAUAUGAGAUGCUUCCAGAGGCUAAAACUUAUUUCUGAGAACCAGCCCACUCCAAUGACAGCCGGCCCCUUCCAGCUGCCUCCUUCCAGGGGCCUCCAACCUGCACCCUGCUCCAAAUUAGGAUGAUACCCCAUUGUUAUCACAGCUUGGAGAUUCCUGAUAUCUCUGCUCACACUCCCACUCCCACAAUGCCCCACUACAGGGAUGAGACUAAGCUGGAACCUCUUGGAAUUCUCUACAUCCAUUUGGACAACUGGAACCCCUCCCUCUACCAACAGCCAGUUUUCCAACUGGGCAAGUUUCCUCCAUAUUUAUCUCAGUGCCUCUUCCUCUUCCAGAAGCCUCCUGUCCCUGAGGUCCCAGCAUGCCUUGCAGCUAGUCAUGGCCAAGUUCUGACAUGUUCACACUUCCCCGAAAAAGAAAAAAUCAGCAGUAUAGCUUCUGGAGACUUGAUUAUUUAUGGGGCUUCAGUCUACUUGGAAAGCCUACAAAGAAAAACGACAAAGGAAUUUGAGUUGUGAUGAGUUAUGUUCAAUUCUCCUUUGCCAUUUACUAGCUGUAAGUCUCCAGGAAAGUUAACUUCACUGAGCUUCAGUUUUCUCAUUUGUAAACUGGGAAUUCCUUUCCUACCUUAAAGCUUUUG
RNAcentral lists this long non-coding RNA (817 nucleotides) under Homo sapiens (human). RNAcentral describes it as "HSALNT0267222". The record is from RNAcentral. Lineage: Eukaryota; Metazoa; Chordata; Mammalia; Primates; Hominidae.